RNAcentral lists this unclassified non-coding RNA (561 nucleotides) under Cladosporium floccosum. RNAcentral describes it as "sequence contains ITS1, 5.8S rRNA gene and ITS2". The stretch from base 209 to 362 matches the Rfam family "5.8S ribosomal RNA". Lineage: Eukaryota; Fungi; Ascomycota; Dothideomycetes; Cladosporiales; Cladosporiaceae. The record is from RNAcentral.
GAAGGUAAAAAUGUAACAAGGUCUCCGUAGGUGAACCUGCGGAGGGAUCAUUACAAGAACGCCCGGGCUUCGGCCUGGUUAUUCAUAACCCUUUGUUGUCCGACUCUGUUGCCUCCGGGGCGACCCUGCCUUCGGGCGGGGGCUCCGGGUGGACACUUCAAACUCUUGCGUAACUUUGCAGUCUGAGUAAACUUAAUUAAUAAAUUAAAACUUUUAACAACGGAUCUCUUGGUUCUGGCAUCGAUGAAGAACGCAGCGAAAUGCGAUAAGUAAUGUGAAUUGCAGAAUUCAGUGAAUCAUCGAAUCUUUGAACGCACAUUGCGCCCCCUGGUAUUCCGGGGGGCAUGCCUGUUCGAGCGUCAUUUCACCACUCAAGCCUCGCUUGGUAUUGGGCAACGCGGUCCGCCGCGUGCCUCAAAUCGUCCGGCUGGGUCUUCUGUCCCCUAAGCGUUGUGGAAACUAUUCGCUAAAGGGUGUUCGGGAGGCUACGCCGUAAAACAACCCCAUUUCUAAGGUUGACCUCGGAUCAGGUAGGGAUACCCGCUGAACUUAAGCAUAUCU